Molecule: ribosomal RNA, 497 nt
Filed under: uncultured bacterium
Lineage: Bacteria
Description: partial 16S ribosomal RNA
Rfam family: Bacterial small subunit ribosomal RNA
Source: RNAcentral
GACGAACGCUGGCGGCGUGCCUAAUACAUGCAAGUUGAGCGCUGAAGGUUGGUACUUGUACCGACUGGAUGAGCAGCGAACGGGUGAGUAACGCGUGGGGAAUCUGCCUUUGAGCGGGGGACAACAUUUGGAAACGAAUGCUAAUACCGCAUAAAAACUUUAAACACAAGUUUUAAGUUUGAAAGAUGCAAUUGCAUCACUCAAAGAUGAUCCCGCGUUGUAUUAGCUAGUUGGUGAGGUAAAGGCUCACCAAGGCGAUGAUACAUAGCCGACCUGAGAGGGUGAUCGGCCACAUUGGGACUGAGACACGGCCCAAAAGCCCACGGGAGGCAGCAGUAGGGAAUCUUCGGCAAUGGACGAAAGUCUGACCGAGCAACGCCGCGUGAGUGAAGAAGGUUUUCGGAUCGUAAAACUCUGUUGGUAGAGAAGAAAGUUGGUGAGAGUGGAAAGCGCAUCAAGUGACGGUAACUACCCAGAAAGGGACGGCUAACUACGUG